UACGAAGGGGGCUAGCGUUGCUCGGAAUUACUGGGCGUAAAGUGUGCGCAGGCGGCAGAGCAAGUCGAGUGUGAAAGCCCCGGGCUUAACUUGGGAAUUGCGCUCGAAACUACUUUGCUGGAGUGUGGCAGAGGAAGGUGGAAUUCCACGUGUAGCGGUGAAAUGCGUAGAGAUGUGGAGGAACACCAAUGGCGAAGGCAGCCUUCUGGGCCAACACUGACGCUCAGACACGACAGCAUGGGGAGCGAACGGG
RNAcentral lists this ribosomal RNA (253 nucleotides) under uncultured bacterium. Its description in RNAcentral is "partial 16S ribosomal RNA". It matches the Rfam family "Bacterial small subunit ribosomal RNA", at positions 524 to 776 of the family's 1533-position model. The record is from RNAcentral.